This 61-nucleotide transfer RNA is filed under the name Marmota marmota marmota (Alpine marmot). It matches the Rfam family "tRNA", at positions 6 to 65 of the family's 71-position model. From Rfam's summary of the family: Transfer RNA (tRNA) molecules are approximately 80 nucleotides in length. Lineage: Eukaryota; Metazoa; Chordata; Mammalia; Rodentia; Sciuridae. RNAcentral also lists the same sequence under 1 other name. The record is from Rfam by way of RNAcentral.
UGUGGCUCAGUGGUAAAGCACUUGCCUAGCAUGCAUGAGGCACUGGGUUCAAUCCUCAGCA